UGGGGAAUCUUGCACAAUGGGGGCAACCCUGAUGCAGCGACGCCGCGUGAGCGAUGAAGGUUUUCGAAUCGUAAAGCUCUGUCCUAUGGGAAGAUAAUGACGGUACCAUAGGAGGAAGCCCCGGCUAACUACGUGCCAGCAGCCGCGGUAAUACGUAGGGGGCGAGCGUUGUCCGGAAUUACUGGGCGUAAAGGGUUCGCAGGCGGCAUGGCAAGUCCGAUGUAAAAGGCGAAGGCUCAACCUUCGUAAGCAUCGGAAACUGUCAAGCUUGAGUGUAGGGGAGGCAAGUGGAAUUCCUGGUGUAGCGGUGGAAUGCGUAGAUAUUAGGAGGAAUACCGGUGGCGAAGGCAACUUGCUGGACUUCAACUGACGCUGAGGAACGAAAGCGUGGGUAGCAAACAGG
Molecule: ribosomal RNA, 403 nt
Filed under: Fusobacteriota bacterium
Lineage: Bacteria; Fusobacteriati; Fusobacteriota
Description: Fusobacteria bacterium partial 16S ribosomal RNA
Rfam family: Bacterial small subunit ribosomal RNA
Source: RNAcentral